AACUAUAAAAAACUAUGGUUUGAAACCAUGAAUGGGAUUUUAAUCCUAUAGUUA
Molecule: transfer RNA, 54 nt
Filed under: Jesogammarus hinumensis
Lineage: Eukaryota; Metazoa; Arthropoda; Malacostraca; Amphipoda; Anisogammaridae
Description: tRNA-Ser
Source: RNAcentral